AGAGCCAAAGCCCCCUCCACAUCCCAAGUUCCUAACCUGACCUCCACCAUGAGAGAUUAACAUCCCAACCAGCUGCUGCUCGCAACGUACGUAGCAUCUUGCCCGCCCCUCGUCGAAGUCCGACCCGCAGCUAGCUCAGCCGGCGGCCGGCGAGCACAACGUACGUGGUGGGGUCGCACUCGCGCACCACCGGCGGAGCUAGCUAGCUAGCGUUGCCCCUGUCUCUGCCACCGCUCGUCGCCGCGGCCGGCCUGCCUGUAGAUCGUACGCCGACUUCGACGACGUACGGCCACCUCCUCCCCCAACGAAUUAGCCAUACGGAAGGACAAGGUGAGAGUACCGCUAGCUACAUGCAUCUUUAGCUUGAUUUGCUAUCCACUUAAUCGCGGAGACGUACAAGCGGAACCUUGUCUUGUAAGGUGCUGCAACAUUAAGUUUUAGAUUUGGAUGUAGGUAUUAAGAAAGUGAUGAAAUUAAAAACUGAAGAGUUGUGAUUGGUUAAAAAAAUUGUAAUUGAAGAGGUUGCUAUAUUCUAAGAUAAAUUUUAAAUGCUAGAAAUAACUAUAUUUUGAUAUUUUGGGUGGGACGGAGGGAGUAACAAUUUUUUAAAGAAACCUACAAGCUUUGGAGCCUCUUAAUGUUUUGAUGCGGAAUUUUUUUUCUGUAUAUUCCAGUUAGCUGUUGUAACCCCACAUUAAACAUUUCCUGAUUUAUUGUUGCUAGCUGUUCUAUGCAGUUUUUUAAUUAAGGGGUAAAGUCCAUCUUACUCUCCAAAUAUGGCAAAGGCAAAGAAAAAGAAGAAGAAAAAAAACCCCAAAGGUAUUGCUUUCGGAGCUUGAACGGCCUACCUAUUUGUACACUUAUUGAUUCUUAAGAAGUUUUGUUGUUUAAUAUGGUUAUCAUGUUUUCAGCUUACUUUUGAAUAAUUGGAUUGGACAGUCAUAGGAAAGAAAAAAUAAAUGAGUAAGUAAUGAUGCCAUUUUAUUAAUUACUAGUAAAUCUGCGUGCAAUGCAAUUAUAGCAUAUUUCAUAUCAUGCACUAUAAUACAUAAUGAUUUUUAUUUAAUAAUAUAUAAUGAUGUUCUUAUUUUUACAUACAACUUAAAACUAAAAAUUUUAAGACAUUAUGAUGUUUGGGCUUAUCAUGAAAAGCUUAAAAAAAAUGGACAACUUAUCAUGGCGAUGUAGGGACUAUAUGGACACUGUGUUCUUUCUAUGUUCAUACAUAGCAAAUAAAGAAUAGCUUGUUUAUCUUUCCAUCAUUAAGAUUGUUAUAGAAAUUUCCUAUUAAUUAGUCCCUUUUGUUAUCUAUAAUCACAUAUACAUAUUAGCAAUUUCAUAAAUAAGUUACUACUCACUCCAUUUCAGGUUAUAAUACGUUUUGACUUUAGUUAAAGUUUAACUACUCUAAGUUUGACUAACUAUGUAGAAAAAAGUAGUAAUAUUUUUAACCCAAAACUAAUAUGUUAUGAAAAUUUAAUCAAUUAUAGAUUUAAUAAAACUAUGCUAGUGUUAUAAAUAUUAUUUUUUAUAGAGCUAGUUAAACUUACAGUAGUUUAUCUUUAACUAAAAUCAAAACUUAUUAUAAUCUGAAACGUAAACGGUGAGAGUAUAUCUUAACGUAGUUAGGGUGUGUUCUAAACUGCAUAGUUGGCUGGCUGGUGCAUUACGCACUGUAGCAGAUAUAUAUUUGGGAAGGGAUGAAUCAUGAAUGUAACCGGUGACAUCGCCAACACCCGUGACGCUCGAGGCCGUCGUCGGUCGUCUUCUUCGGUCGCCUACGACUGCGAGGACACCGCUUUAUUGUCCACCGGGUCAUUCACUUUCCCCAACCUCGCGUAGGAGAGAGCACCCAAGAGACCGUCGGUCGUCGAUGCGAAGGAGGAAUGCGACGCGACGUGCCGUCCACAGCUCUGUCCUCUCUGUCCGUUGUCCUCAGCGGCGUGCACUUGGUUGACAUGGACGGCUCAUGAAGACCUCCUUGGCAGCCGCAUCAGGGAAAAGUAGUGAUUCCGGCUGCGGCUGAGCAGCAUUGGCACGUGAAACCCUCCCUCCCUCUGCGUCGAUCUUAGGGUGUGCUCGUUAGGGCUGGUAGUGCUAGCUGCGGAGGUAGUGCUCCAAUGCACUGUGCAGCACGCGGAUAGGACUGCAGAAGUCAAUAACGUGGGCUGGCAGCGUUCCUGACGAGAGUUAGGUCGCCGUCGCCAACUUUCCAUCUUCCUCCCGUGCAUUGUAUUAGCCAGUGGUUUUUACGGUGUGCAUCGCUUUUCCUAAAUCGGUUGUGUGCUGUGGUUUGGCCAUAUUACCUUGCUGUGCACCUCACCCCCAUUGUUGGACUUCCAAGCUUGAGCUCAUCCUUUUGCCCGAAAUAUCUUGCUCUGCCCUCCUAUUGUUCUACCUCCAAGCGUGCCCGCAUCCAUUUGCAUACCGGAUAUCUCGACGUCGCUAGGUUUCUUCUGCACACCAGCGGUCGUCGACUGCAUCGUAGCCUUGGUGCCCAGACCGGCGUGGCCUUGCAGAGCACGCGCAUGGCGUAGAAUACUCGGCCUAAUCAGGUAGGCAUCCACUUCCCACAUUUGUCUGGCGCAUCAGAGGCGGAGAAAGGAGCUCUGGUUAGGAGCAUCGCUGCAUCGAGUGGAGUGAAAGCAUCGAGGUUGCCGAUUCUGGAAUCGUCGCAGCAAGCGCAGCGAGCGGUCUGGUCCAAUCUCGUGCGGCACAGUAAAAGGGAUUUGGCUCCUGUAGCGCCCUUUCCGUCGUAGCGCAUAGCGGGAAAAUUAAAACUUAAAAACCCUAAUUGUGAAAGUCCGCUGUUUGUUUGAAGUAUGUGUGCAUGCCAGUCUCGGAUCUCAGAUCCCCGAUUUGUCAAAUUCGAAUCCCCAAUUCAAAUUCCUAUGCAAAAGUCUAGUUUGCCUCCCUCAUAUUUGCUGGGCCGAUUUUCCUCCUCGGCCUACUCUCUCUCUCUCUCAGCUCGUUUCCCCCUCAGUCUCUCUUCCCCACGUGCGCCGCACGUGAUCGCGGUCGACUCCGAGCCGAGAGAGCUCUCUCUCUCUCUCGUUCAUCUCUCUCUCCAUUUUCUCCCUCCCGGCGUCGAACUCUCGCCCUCGAAAUCGCACGCCGUUGCUUCGCGCGCGCUCCCGCGAUCGCCGUCGUCGUCAGCUGCCUGCGCCGCCUGUGCCGCGCUGCCCUGCCGCGGCUCUGUAACGCGUGCCCGAGCCGUUCCACCCGGCUCUCCCUCUCCCUCCCGCGUGCCGCUUGGGCCGCCUCUCCGUGCCGGCCGGCCAACUAAGCUCACCCGAGCCGUGCCUCUCCUCUUGUCCCGCGCCUAAACCGCCCGAGGAAAGUCUAUUCCCCCUCCCUCUUUCUUUUUCUUUUCAAAAAGGGUUUAAAUAAAUCAUUUUCCCUUUAGACCAAAAAUCAAAUAAUCUUAGAAAUUCCAUAUCUUCGCAACCGUGCAUCCGAUCGACUCUGUUCACUUCCAAAUUUUCUCAAAUCUCGAGAUCUAUCUAAUGGCACGCUUAGAGGUCAAUAAUAGGGCUUUAUUUUCGCGUUUGUUGAUUUGUCUCGUUUCGCGUAUAGCUUGGGAGCCCGAAGACCCGCGGUGCGCGGAUUUCGAGGAUCAAGCUCAAGAUCUCGAGAAAGGCAAGUCACCUUUGAUCAUCUUGCACCUAUAAUUUAAAUCUAAGUAUUUCUUUUCAGCAAAUAAUGCAUGACUAGGAGUAACACGAGUAUUUUGGCCGCGGUUGCGAGAUAGCCUGCUGGCUCCAAUCCUAAUUGCUGCAAUUACCCUCCUUGAAUUAUUGAACACUUAAACCACCCUUGUCAACUGCUAUGCUUCGAUGCAUAGGCCUUCGGGCACGCGCCUCGGAACACUCCUCUCAAAUUUAAAAAUAUCCAACAAUGGGUAAAAUUUGGGGUUUUACAAAAGACUUGAAAAACCCGACACUUGGAUCGGUGCUUGCGAACUAAAUAAUUUUCCAAAAUCGCGGACCAGGGGACUUACCGGGAGUACAGUUUCCCGCUCUUGCACUUAAGGACCGUUUCCUUUGGAAUUUCAUCCGAACAUAAGAUAAGUGCGACCACAUGGGUGAAAUGGGACGCCCCUGGCUGAGUAAUUAGCUAAUCAGGGGAACCUUGAUACCAAGAGACAAGUGGAUUCAACGGGGUGGAGUCGAGGAGAACCCCCGGGCCUCCUGGCGUAGUAUGGUCUGGGACCCCUCUCUUUGGCAUAUGGUAAACCUGUGUCGGAUUUCGAAAUGCCUUGUCAUGAAAGCCUCAAGCUCACCAGACGUGGCUAUUCUGCACGGGCUGGGUGAUCCGGGUUAGUAAUGUCGUGUGGAUAAAGUGUACCCCCUCUGCAGAGGUUAUUAAACUGUUCGAACAGCCGUACCCACGGUCAUGAGCGGACGUGAGGUGAUUCCUUAGCGUAGUUUUGUUUGACUACUGCUUUGUGAAAUUGCUGUUGUGGAAUGGGAUCGUUGUUUGAAAUAUCUGUGACUGACGGGAUCAGCUAGGCUCGGGUGGCUGUUUGAAAGUUGACGGUUGGGUGCCAACCUUGAAUCAAUUCAAAGACUGAUACAUUACACAUACUCCGAUCGGACGAGACACACUGUCUCAUCCGUGUAAUUUGAGAAGCACUUACUUAGUUGUUUAAAAAGGAGUUUAACUAAAAACAAUUGUGAAAAUGAGCAGCCUUUCCUUUGAAGCCUUCAUUAAACACUUAAUUGUUAUGACUUGCUGAGUACUCCUGUACUCACCCUUACUCUAUAUAAAUAAUCCCCCAGUUGCUGAAGAAGAUGAGAUGGAUCCAGCUGAUGAGGAGUUUGUAACACCCUGAAAAUUCGACCAACAAAAUCAAAACUCUAAAAAUGCGGAUUUUCAAAAACUUUUUAAACAAAUUGCAUCAUGCCGAUUUUAUUCACCUAUUUCAUUGGAUUUUGAUUUCGGAGUUCGUUGAUCGCGAAUAAAGAAUAAUUAAUUAGGAAUAAACCCUAAAAUUAAACUGGCAAAAUAAAUAAUUAAAAUAUAAUUUAAAAUAAAGAUUAGGUGAGGUUGGUAAUAAAUAAAAAUAUUAUCGCGACCAUAUUAGUAUCAAUUAAAUUUAAGUGCGAUGGAAUAAGAAUUAACUUUAAUUAAAUUAAGUAAAUUAUAUAAAAAUAAAAUAUGGGUAAUGUUAAUCUAGGGCGAAUCUUUUGGUUAGAGCAACACAAAUAUUGAGUAAACUUGAUUUGUGCAAAAGUUAGAAUUUAUAAGGCGAGAUUUAAAUAGAAAAUAGACUAAAUUAGGGUUAAUAACAAUCUAGCACUAUUCAUUGCCAACAAGGUGCUUGAUGUGGUCCUAGCCGGCCCCGAGCCCCGCGCCGCCGAUGCCGUCGCGUCGCCGUCGCCGCACUGUCCCAUCACCGUCUGCCGCCGCGCGCCGUCGCCAUCGCCGCUGCCGCGCCGCGCGCCGUCCCGUCGCGCCGUCGCGUCGCCACGCCGCCGUCCCGUCGCCUCGCGCCGCGCGCUUGCCGCCUCGCGCCCCGCGCCGCUGCCGCGCCGCGCCGCGUCGCCGUCGCGUCGCCUGUCGCCGUCGCGUCGCCUGUUGCCGUCGCGCCGAGCCCUGUGCCAAGCCGCGCUGAGCCCCGCGCCGCGCCGCCCACCCGUCGCGUCGCCGAUGCCGCCUGCCGCGCCGCGCGCCCGUCGCCAUAGCCGCCUCGAACCCCACGCGCCGCGCCGUCGCGUCGCCAUUAGGGCCGGCCACCUCUCCCCGCGCCUUAUAAAUCCCCUUCCCGGUCGCCAUUUCACCCCGCACCACCUUACCUCCUCUUCCCCCAUUUUCCCCUCUUUCCUCUCCACCGCGCCGCCGCCUUCGUGCCGUUGCGCCGCCGCCCUCGGUGCCGCCGCGCCGCGCCGAGAGCUGCGCCAUGCGUCGCCGCCACCGCCGUUGGUAAGCCGCCGCCCCUCCCGUUGUUCGGUCUCCGCCGCCGCCUUGGGUAGGCAGUGAGCCGAGAGAGAGAGGAAGGGAGAAGCCGGGAGGGAGAGAAAUAGAAAGAAAGAAAGUAAAGAAAAAAAAGAAUAGAAAAGAAGAAAAGGAAAAAUAAAUAGAAAAUUAGGGAGAGAUUAAGGAGGUUUGGAAAAUUAAAAUAAUUGGGGUUAGUUGUAGGUUUCUUUUAGUUGUAGAAUCGCAAAAUUUUAUAUAAUUAUAGAAUAUUUUGGUAAUCUCUAUACGUAAUCAAUUCGCGAUAGAAAUUUAGAUUUAUUUAAGAGCUAAAUAAUUAUGUUGAAUUCUUAGGAAUGUACUUCUAAAUCACAAAAAAAAAGACUUAGGAUGAAUGAACUUAAAAUUGGAAUGAAGUGGUUUUGCAAACUUUGUAGUCGAUAUAGAAAGAUCGAUUCGCGUUCGACUUUUAUUUGAGUUUAUUUGGAUUUCAUUUGAAUUCUAAUUGAAUUCAAAUCAAUUCUUCCCACGUACUUUUAGAUCCCGAGGGAGUUGCGGAUCUGAGCCAGGAUCAAGACCCGCAGGACUAGGAGCAAAGCAAGUCAUCACUAUUCUUUGAACAUGUUGAUCCCAAUUGUGAAAUUAUUUUUAUUACAAAUAAAAUUGCAUGCAAUGAUGAACAUCCUACUUGUGAUUAUGCCAUGCCUUGAUUAUUGUUUACCCCUUAUGCCUUCGUAACCAUGUUUACAUAUGAGUCCCUAGUCAAUUAUGACAAUUGCUUAGAAAUGCUAUUCUAGAAUCAUGCAUACUCAUAUUUAUCAAAUGCUAUAUGCUUGGGCAAUUACCUUUGGGAAGGUAAUUAAGAUGCGGCAAGUGGAGACAUGAGCGCCACAUUGCCAUGAUGUUGAUGACAUGAUUUGUGAAAGGAGAAAUAAAAUUAAACAAUUGUUUUCGACUGGGGCGGACGGAGGAUUUGGGUGGUGUCCGCAAAAGGCUAGUGCCGUCCCCGGUCAAUUAAGGACUGAGCCAUGAAGUUAAAUGAAACGACCCCCGUACAACCGCACUUCUCGUAUGGGUAUAGACCUAGCGGAGUAGAUAGCUGAGCGAAGGCAGUAUCCAUGCAUAGUGGUUUCUUGAUGUGUGAGGCAGGGGCUCUACGGUAGGGCAGCCAUUGGUAGGACCGCGAGGCGGUGUCUACAGUGGGUCGCCAUCGGUAGGACUGCCAUGUGAGAAUCUAAACAUAAUUAUAACUUAAUGCAUGUGUGAGUCUUCCCUUCCCGGGUGCGCUAGAACUUCUCUCACUGCUAGAAACCGUUUACGCCUAGAGUGCAUGAGAAUGUAAAGUUCAUGGAGCGGGUACUGCCAAUGCGAGGUUAUCAAAAAGCUUUGCCGUGACGCGUCUCAUGUGUUGGGACGAGGCUCAUGUGUUGGGCAGUCGCGGAGUGCGGGUAAAGUGUACAUCCACUGCAGUGUGAGUAAACCAAAUCUAUUCGAAUAGCCGUGCUCGCGGUUAUUGAGCACCGGGACGUGUAUUACACUUGGCUAGACUCUAAAUUCUUAACUUGUGUGGGAUGGGUUAUUGCAUGAUGAUUUUAUGCUGUUGGAGCCACUUCCUGAGAGGCGGGAAGGUGGACGUCCUCAGAAAACCAUGACGACUCAAUGGCGGGAAGCUAUCCUUAGGAUCACAAUGGAUGGUGGACAAAACCGUCGUUGUUUAAUGUGAACACUGGUACUAAAAUUUGAUUAGUCUAUGCUAGGUAUUAGGCUUGUGAAAACAAUUACAAAACUGGCUUUGCGCAAAAGAACCAUAGCCAUCCUUUGAAUUCCCCUAUCAUGUGCAUUGUCGCUGUGGUGGCUUGCUGAGUACGGUUGGUACUCACCCUUGUAAUAUACAAAUUUAAUCAGAGGCCGGAGAUGAAGCUUCGGAGGAUCCCUACGCUUACUACUAGGAGGGUGAUGGAGACGAUGGCGCUCAGUAGGUCUUAGUUACGGUCGUUGCAUGUGGCAAUGACGUGCCGCUGCCUUAACUCCGCUGCCUUAUCUACUUCUGCUUUUGGAAUGUAUUCCGGACCGCUCGGUCCGAUGAUCUAAGACUAUGCCUGCGGGCUUAUGAUGUAAUAAUUCGCACUAGACUCUCGUGUAUGUGUAUUUGGUAAUUCAGCUAUGAACUCGUGUGUAACAGACUACUUGAUCUAGGGAAAUGGUACUGUUUACACGAUUGAUACCUGUUAUAAAAACGGGGGUCCACAGAGCUGGUAUCAGAGCCAUACGACUGUAGGAAAAGACCAAAUGGCGCCCCACCCCUUUUUAGUUGGCCAAGGGAGAAAUUCCCAUUUAGCAAUACUUUCAAAAAUAAAAACACUAUGUUACAAAACUCUACGAUUUUCAUCUUACUCUUAACUAUUUUCGUUACAAAAUGAGUUUUACUUUUAGCUGACUUUGGCUUCUUAAAAUUAGAUGGCAGAUCAGGAUUCGCACACUACCUGGGAGAUGGGCGUACCCCGCUCAGAGGGAUACGUCAUGGAGCUACAUCGGUUGAUGAGGCGCCUAAGGUACCCCAGAUUUUCGAUCUACCGAGUGAGACAGUGUGGACCCGUUUGGGAGGCCCGGAUUGAGGUUCAUCCAUGAGUUCCUUCAGAGUCAGACUACAGCUUUCCGACACGCCACCGUCGCGACUUACCAGAGACCGCGAUGCAGGACACAGCUCGGGAGGCCUUCCUCCGACUUAGCUCUCUUCACCGAGUUUGCUCACCAUCCGUUUCGGGAGGAGAGCAACUCUGUCUGCACAGUCUAGGACACACCUUGCUGCUACAACCCGAUGGUGACUCGACUGUCCCGAUGGGCUGAGGCAGUAGACGACUUCUACGGGGAGGCUCUGUUAGAGAUCAACGACCAGCAGAGGCGUUUGGGAGAGUUAGAGACCGAGGUGACUGACCUCACAGUGCAGCAGCUUCAGCUAGAGGAGGAGCAUCAGGCUUGGGGCAGUGAGAUAGACUCACUGAAGGCACAGCUCCAGGUCCACGGCGACCAGUUCCAGCAGCUAUUAGAUCAGUACAAUGAUCACCGCGAGAUGAUGGAUACACUUCAGGAGCAGCUGAGAGAGAGUCAGGAGCACGUCAGCCAGCUUGAGGAGGAGCUUCGAGCAGCUACAAUCAGCACCACAGGAGCUUCUACUUCCUCAGCAGUAGGGCGUGAUCGCUACUUCUUCCUUACUCCGUCAUACCCACCAGCGUUCCACGCUCUUUUGGGAGAGGUUGAUAUGCUAACUACCGAGUCAGCACCUUACCUGGUGGACCCGACAGUGACACAGCCACCUGCCCUGGAGAAUGUGCACACUCCACUUAUCCCUACUCCGUCACCGUAGCUAGGUUCCAGUUUGGAGACUCCAAUCCAGGUCGACUCCGAGACAGAGGGGACCGACACUGAGCCAGAGAUAGAGUCGGACAUCACUGAUCCUUCAGAGGACGAGACUCCUGUCCACCGCAUCACCUUUAUCGGAGGCUCUCGUACCCUCAGCACUGCCCGCAAGAGCACACGACCCCCGGGCAAGAAGCCCAAGCCAGAUCCAGAGGCCACUACUUCCGAGCCGUGGGGACUCAGGUUUGCACGAGCCAGCGAUCACCCUCUUCCUGCCCCAGGAUCCUGCGGAUGGCUGGAUGACUAGACUAGAGGACUAUUGCAGCUUCGAUAUCGCCUUAGAUGGUUUUUGGAUAGCAUGCGAGACGCCCCCCCUACCUAGAUUGACGAGUAGCUUGAUGAUUAGUUCAAUGUAUCUUUUAGAUGAACUUUAUUUGGACUGCGUAUAUGUGCAGUCGAUUGCAUCAUGACUUAUGUAUUAUCUGUGGAAGUCUGUGAUGUUCUUUAUGAUAUUAUUAUCGUUGUGUUAUAAAUGAGUUUAUUCCACCAUGCUUACAAAACAAAGUACAUAUCAAAACAACUCCCUUAACGGGAUAAAACCAUAGAGGCUAGUUAGGAAAUUAGGUUACCUACCUAAUCGGCCUACAUAGAUAACAAGCCGACGUCGGGCGUCAACCAGCAAUGAAGAAACUCAAGCACCCGACCUAACCGCCCUGGCCGGAGUUAUGGCCACUCAAACACAACUUCUGCAAGCCAUUGCAAACAAUCAAGGCAACCGUGGAGGAUCGAGCUUUGGAGAGUUUAUGAGGACUAAGCCACCCACUUUCGUUACGGCAGACGAGCUUAUGGAGGCAGAAGAUUGGCUACGCAUCAUAGAGAAGAAACUGACCCUUGUCCGGGUGCGCGAAGCCGACAAAGUGAUCUUCGCCGUAAACUAACUGGAGGGACCAGCUGGCGAUUGGUGGGAUACUUACAAGGAAGCUCGGGAAGAAGAUGCUGGAGAACCCACUUGGAAAGAAUUCACUGCAGCUUUUCGCGAGAACUUCGUGCCUGCUGUGGUGAUGCGCAUGAAAAAGAACGAGUUCAGAAGGCUGCGACAAGGAAAUACAACGGUGCAAGAAUUUCUGAACCGGUUCACCCAGUUGGCCCGCUAUUCUCACUGCUAGAGUGCAUGAGAAUGUAAAGUUCAUGGAGCGGGUACUGCCAAUGCGAGGUUAUCAAAAAGCUUUGCCGUGACGCGUCUCAUGUGUUGGGACGAGGCUCAUGUGUUGGGCAGUCGCGGAGUGCGGGUAAAGUGUACAUCCACUGCAGUGUGAGUAAACCAAAUCUAUUCGAAUAGCCGUGCUCGCGGUUAUUGAGCAUCGGGACGUGUAUUACACUUGGCUAGACUCUAAAUUCAUAACUUGUGUGGGAUGGGUUAUUGCAUGAUGAUUUUAUACUGUUGGAGCCACUUCCUGAGAGGCGGGAAGGUGGACGUCCUCAGAAAACUAUGACGACAAUGGCGGGAAGCUAUCCUUGGGAUCACAAUGGAUAGCGGGCCAACUGAGUGAACCGAUUCAGAUAUUCCUGCAUCGUUGUGUUCCCUUGUCGUAGCCUUCUAAACUCGUUCUUCUUUAUACGCAUUACCGCAGCAGGCACGAAGUUCUCGCGGAAUGCUGCAGUGAACUAUUCCUAAGUGGGUUCUCUAGCAUCCUCUUCCCGAGCUUCCUUGUAAGUAUCCCACCAAUCACCAGCGGGUCCCUACAGUUGGUUUACUGCGAAUAUCACUUUGUCGGCUUCGCGUACCCGGACAAGGGUCAGUUUCUUCUCUGUGAUACGUAGCCAAUCUUCUGUCUCCAUAGGCUCGUCUGCCGUAGCGAACGUGGGUGGCUUGGUCCUCAUAAACUCUCCAAAGCUCGAUCCGCCGCGGUUGCCUUGGUUAUUUGCAAUGGCUUGCAGAAGUUGGGCUUGAGUGGCCAUAACCCCGGCCAGGGUGGUUAGGUCAGGUGUCUGAGUUUCAUCAUUGCUGGUUGACGCCCGACGUCGGCUUGCCAUCUGUGUAGGUUGAUUGAGUAAGUAUCCUAAUCUUCUAACUGGCUCUUAUGGUUUUAUCCCGUUAAGGGAAUUGUCUUGAUGUGAACUUGGUUUUGCAAGCAUGGUGGAACAAACUCAUUUACACAUAAUAGCAAUAGUAUCAUAAAUAACAUCACAGAGUUCCACAAAUAGUACAUAAAUCAUGAUGCAAUCGACUGCACACAUAUGCAGUCCAAAUAAGGUUCAUCCAAAAGAUACAUCGAACUAACCAUCAAGCUACUCGUCAAUCUAGGAAAGGGAGGGUGUAUCUCGCAUCCUAUCCAAAAACCAUCUGAAGCGAGAUCGAAGCUACAAUAAUCCUCCAGUCUAGUCAUCCAACCAUCCGCAGGAUCCUGGGGCAGGUAGAGGGUGGUCGCUGGCACGGGCAAAUCUGAGUCCCCACGGCUCGGAAGUAGUGGCCUCUGGAUCUGGCUUGGGCUUCUUGCCCGGAGGUCGUGUGCUCUUGCAAGCAGUACUGAGGGUACGAGGGCCUCCGACAAAGGUGAUGCGGUGGACAGGAGUCUCAUCCUCUGAAGGAUCGGUGAUGUCUGGCUCUAUCUCUGGCUCAGUGUCGGUUCCCUCUGUCUCGGAGUCAACCUGGAUCGGAGUCUCCAAACUAGAACCUAGCUGCGGUGAAGGUGUAGGGAUCAGUGGGGUGUGCACAAUCUCUGGGGCAGGUGGCUGUGUCACUGUCGGGUCCACUAGGUAAGGUGCUGACUCGGUAGCUAGCAUACCAGCCUCUCCCAGAAGAGCGUGGAACGCUGGUGGGUACGGCGGGGUGAAGAAGAAGUAGCGUUCACGCCCUACUGCUGUAGAAGUAGAAGCUCCUGGGGUGCUGACCGUGGCUGCUCGGAGCUGCUCCUCCAGCUGGCUGACGUGCUCCUGACUCUCUCUCAGCUGCUCCUCAAGUGUAUCCAUCAUCCCGCGGCGAUCGUUGUACUGAUCAGAUAACUGCUGGAACUGGUCGCCGUGGACCUGGAGCUGUGUCUUUAGUGAGUCUAUCUCACUGCCCCAAGCCUGGUGCUCCUCCUCUAGCUAAAGCUGCUAUACUGUGAGGUCAGUCACCUCGGUCUCUAACUCUCCCACACGCCUCUGCUGGUCGUCGAUCUCUAACAGAGCCUUCUUGUAGAAGUCGUCUACUGCCUCAGCCCAUCGUGACAGUCGAAUCACUAUCGGGUUGUUGCAGCAAGGUGUGUCCUGAAUUGUGCAGAUGGAGUUGCCCUCCUCUCGAAACGGGUGGUGAGCAAACUCAGUACUCGCCAACUCAGCUCUGUGGAUAGAGCUAAGUCGGAGAAAGGCCUCCCGGGCUGCAUCCUGCAUCGCGGUCUCUGGCAAGUCGCGAUGGUAGCGUGUCGGAAAGCUGUAGUCUGACUCUGAAGGAACUCGUGUGUGAACCUCGACCCGGGCCUCCCAAACGAAUCCACACUGUCUUACUCGGUAGAUCGGAAAUCUGGGGUACCGUAGAUGCCUCAUCAGCCGAUGCAGCUCGAUGACGUAUCCCUCCGAGCGGGGUACGCCCAUCUCCCAGGUAGCGGGUGAAUCCUGAUCUGCCAUCUAAGUUUAAGAAAAACCCAAAGUCAGCUGAGAGUAAAACUUGUUUUGUAAAGAAAAUGGUUAAGAGUAGGAUGAAGAUCGUAUAGAGUUUUGUGAACAUAGCAUUUUUAUUUUUUUGAAAGUAUUACUAAAUGGGAAUUUCUCCCUUGGCCAACUUAAAAAAAAGGGGUGGGCGCCUUUUAGUCUUUUCCUAUAGUUGUGUGGCUCUGAUACCAGCUCUGUGGACCCACGUUUUUAUAACAGGAAUCAAUCGUGUAAAUAGUACCAUUUCCCUGGAUCAAGUAGUCUGGUACACACAAGUUCAUAGCUGAAAUACCAAAUGCACAUACACGAAAGUCUAGUGCGAAUUAUUACAUCAAAAGCCCGCAGGCGUAGUCUUAGAUCAUCGGACCGAGCAGUCCGGAAUACAUUCCAAAAACAGAAGUAGAUAAGGCAGCGGAGUUAAGGCAGCGGCACGCCAUUGCCACAGGCACCGAUCGUAACUAAGACCUACUGAGCGCCAUCGUCUUCAUCACCCUCCUGGUAGUAAGUGUAGGGAUUCUCCGAAGCUUCAUCUCCGACCUCUGAUUAAGUUUGUAUAUUGCAAGGGUGAGUACAAGCCGUACUCAGCAAGCCACCACAGCAACAAUGCACAUGAUAGGGGUAUUCAAAGGAUGGCUAUGGUUCUUUUGCGCAAAGCAAGUUUUGUAAUUCUUUUCACAAGCCUAAGACUUAGCACAGACUGGUCAAAUUUUAGUACCAGUGUUUUCAUUAAACAAUGACGGUUCUGUCCACCAUCCGUUGUGAUCCCAAGGAUAGCUUCCCGCCGUUGUGUCGUGUCGUGACCGGGAAAAUUGCCUUUUCCCGAACGCUAGUGUAUUAAUCCCCGUCCCAGGAAAAGCCGGGGUACACCAUACAAACAUGAUAUAAAAGACACAUCUUUAUUACAUCGAUAAUAUUUACCUUAUUACAAAGGCGCUUCAGGCCUGACAAUCAAAAAUAAACAGCAGCGAACUAGCGGGCCUACGGCUCCAUCUUCACAGGCGCUCAACUGGGGUAUAAGCCAGGACUCCACCUAAGACUUCUUCUCCAAAGCUUCUCUUACUGAAGGGGGGAAAAGAUUGAGCAAGAAUGAGUACAACCACAGUACUCAGCAAGCCACACCGGAGAUGCAUAAUUAAUGCAAGGGGGGUACAAGGAGAUAAUAAUAUAGGGGUUAAGUUUUGCAGUAACAGCCUUUAAAAGUCACUUAGUUGCCCAAAGCCAUUUUAUAAAGACGAUCCUAGAGCUACACAGUAUUAUUAAACAAGGCCGUGAACCCUCACGAACCUGCCUUAACCCAAGGCCUACGAUGAUUCAGACCGAACUGGCAACCCGACCCUGGGUCCCAGCUCGUCCCAAGCCAACCCAGGCCAACCAUUCCAUAUUUUAGUUGUUGAGCAAAUUUUAAGAAUUAAAACACUGACUUGGGUACAUUGCUCGGCUUGCCCAUAACCGAGGGCGCGGCUAUUCGAAUAGAUUAUACUCUGAUCAGAGGUGUACAUCUUUACCCACAAGACACAUCUUCCUCACGUGUUACCACGUGCCACAUACCACCACGGUAUACAGACGGAAGACGUGACAUAGUUUUCAACCCAUCCUAGCCAUAGACAAGAGUACCGACCCAAUCCCACCUACGGCCGGGAUACCCGGGACAGGCAGGCAGAACUGAGCCCCUAGCAGCAGGGCACCAACCCUCUGCCAUAUGACAUCUCGACUACCGGGCCGCAGCUCGUGUAGCCUUCAUUUGCCCUGGAGAAUGUCCAUCGACCCCCGACUUCAUCCAUCUCCAAUCCGUGUACUUUUAUUUAUGACUAGACUGAGCCACAAACUAAGCCUUACCCAUUAGACAUGUGGAAGUACGGUAGUGCUUUGCAACAGAGGCCCGAGCUUAAUCCUUAUAGUGGCCGGGGUGCUACUUCCCACAACUGGCAUGCACCCAAACCCCACCGAAAACAGGUUUUAGGGAUUUUGAAAGGGGAAGAGAGGUGUAUGUCCAAUUCCACCAUAAACCAACAAUUCCAUAGUGUCCAAAUGAUAUGAGAAUUCCCAAAGUCUAAAGUUAUAAAACCACCUAAUGUUGCCUAAUUAAUCAGCGAAGCAUCUACCUAAAUUCAUACUAGUGGAACCACGAAUAGAGUACCCACUAGUUGGGGUUUUAUUUAUUCUAGGGUGAACAAGGUAAUAAUAACAAUAGCAAUAAUAAUGUCUUAACAAAGGUAAAUAGGCAUGGCUAAAUAAAACAGUGAUAACGCGGGAAUUUAAAUAAAGCGGUAAUGCAUUAAUUUAAAUCAAAAUAAUUUUAUAAACUGGGAUUCAAUAUGCUCAAGGAUGAUGUGACUUGCCUUGCUCAGAGAGAACGGCCUUCCGAACCUACGGCGACGACCACGAACCACGCUUCGGGAACCUCUGGAACGACGAAAGCUACGCGAAGCACACAAGCAAUGCUGCAAGCCUAUAAAGAAGCAAUAACAAUACAUAAAAAGAAAGCACAUGGUUCUUUAGGUUAUAACAAACAUUAGGAGACUUGAACGGAUCGAUUCGGAGCUCGUAUGACCAAGAUAUGAUCAUCCAAAGUUUAAUGCUGUUAUAUGGAGAUUUGCGGAUUAUUAUAAUUAAGCUUUGCAAUUAUAAAACAUGCGUAAGCGCUAGCCUGGAAAGACAGGAAGGCUGCGCCGUUGACAUGCGGACCCCACAUGUCAACAAAAAGGACCGCGGUAGACCGAGUACACAGAGACGGUCCACGGGUCGAUGGAAGCGGAUCCCGUGUGUCAACCGAGGCGAGUGGCCGACAAACGGACUCCACUAGGCACCACACGGGUUGCACACGUGGAAACCACGCGGCUACCGAGCGGGCACACUAACACGGACACUACACGGUCACCACCCGCACACGUGAACGACUACCGACACCGGUACACGGGUACCGGGGUCGACGACCGCACAACGGGUACGGGGCGACACCGAAAGGACGAGGACGGGGCAGCGAGGGAGAGGGAACCUUACCACCACGCGACGAGGCGCGGGAACGACAACGACGAACGGGCGCGGCGGAGACAGACGGGCACAACGGAGACGAACGGCGAGGGGACGGCUUCGGCGGCGAUCCUUGAACGUAGGCGAGACGCGGCCGACACGGGGCUUGACGACGCGGAGCCGAGGACGAAGACGAGGACGGGGCUGCAGCGGCUCGCUUGACGAACGCGGACGACGGACGAGAACGGCUCGACGGAGGGACGAACGCCACGACGACCGGGAACGACGAGAGGACGACGACGACCGGGACCGGCGAGGAGGCGACGAGGACAGCCGGCGGCAGCUGCACGGAGAUGGGGACGACGUGGAACACGCCGCUACGAUGCCGACGACGGAGGCGGCGCCGCGAGACGACGAGCCGGGCGACCGAUGGGACGUCGAUCGGCGAGGACGAACGGUGACAAGGAAACGACGAUGGCAGCCAGCAGCGGCUGCGCGGAGGAGGGGACAGCGUGGAACACGCCGCUGCGAUGUUGGUGAAGGUGGUGGUGCAGCGGGGUGGCGAGCCGAUGAGGAGGAAGGAGAGGCCGGCGCGGAGACGACGGCGUUCCGGCGAAAUUCGGGCGACGCCGUGGCCUGGCCGGGAGAGAGGACGGCACUGCGACGUCAACGGAGGAGACGGCGACAUCGGUCGGCGUACCGGCGACGAACAGCAGCCGGCCGGAGACGGGGAAGUGGUGGCGACGCCACUGGACGCCGGCGAGGACGCGUCUCCGGUGCUUUCCCCGCGAAACGGAGGGCUGACCGAGGGAGAGGAGGCAGCUGCGACGCCGGGAGAGGUGGCGGCGCAGCCGGAGGGUGCACGGGUGAGGCGGGAGGUGCGGCUGGAGGUGGCCGGCGCGGAGAAAAGAGGAGGGCGACGGCGGGAAGGCAGCUCCGGGGGUCACCUCGCGAAACGGAGGGCAAGCCGGGGUGGAGGAGGUGGCGGCGACGCUGGAGGAGGCGACGGCGCGGCCGGACGACGCUCCGGCGAGGCGGGAGAGGCGGCUGGAGGCCGGCCGGCACCGGAGAGAGAGAGGGAGAAGGUGGGGAGAGGCGGUGCGGCCACGGGGGAGCUCGGGAAGAGGCUAAAACGGUAGAACGCAAAGAGGGGGUUCCAUUUUAUAGGAGAGGAGUGGGAGCCGGCCACGGGGGAGGUCGGAACGGCGGCGAUAAAGGCGGCCGGCGGCCAUGGUUGGUGACCGGAGAAAAUGCGGGCGUUCCCGGCGAUUGGGGACACGAUUCAAGGGGGAAAUUGGGGGGAAUUGAAGAGGAUUCAAUGGGGAUUAAUUCCCCCCAAUCAAUUUGGAAAGAAGGGCAUUGAUUCGCGUGGAUUUAGGGGAGGAACGGCGCUAGGUUUUCGGGGAGAGAGAGAGGAGGCCGGCUGGGAGAGGAAGACGAUGACGACCUGGCGCGUGGGCCCCACGCGGUCAGGCGGCGGCUCGGGCAGGGGGGGGCUCGGCUGGGCGGGGACACGGCCCAGGUGGGAGAGGAGGGGGAGGCGGCCUGGGCCGGGCUGGGCCGGGAGAGGAGGGGGGGAAACGGCCCGGGAGAGAGAGGGAGGAGGGAGUGGGCCGGGAGGGGAAGAGGGGCCCAAGAGAAGGAGGGAGAGAAGGAGAGGGAGAGAAAGAGAGGGAGGAAAGGGAGACUUCGGCCGCGGGCCGAGGGGAGAGAGGGGGGACUUUGGGCCAGACUUGGCCCAAAGGAAAAGGAGGAUUAUUUUUAGAUUUUCUUUUUAAUAAACUUUGUUAAUUGUUUUUGUUGCUUAAUAAUUAUUUCCGGUGCUCUGAAAAUUCAAGUAAAAUUUGAGGGCUCCUUUUAGACCAAGGAGAAUUUAACAAAAAUUCUCCGGGCCACAUUUGAAUUUUUCUUGCACGUAUUUUAGUGUUUGCCAAUUUCUUUUCGAAUUUUAAUUAAUUCUAUUAUUCCUUUUAGCGAAUGAUUUUUAUUUCGGGAUGAAUUUAUCAGGACGUGACAUGUCGCCAUGGUUUUUUGAGGACGUACACCUUCCCUCCUCUCAGGAAGUGGCUCCAACAGCAUAAAAAUCAUCAUGCAAUAUCCCAUCCCACACAAGUUAAGAAUUUAGUCUAGCCAAGUGUAAUACACGUCCCGGUGCUCAAUAACCACGAGCACGGCUAUUCGAAUAGAUUUGAUUUACUCACACUGCAGUGGAUGUACACUUUACCCGCACUCCGCGACUGCCCAACACAUGAGCCUCGUCCCAACACAUGAGACGCGUCACGGCAAAGCUUUUCGAUAACCUCGCAUUGGCAGUACCCACUCCAUGAACUUUACAUCCUUAUGCACUCUAGGCGUCAUACGUUUCUAACAGUGAGAGGAGUUCUGGCGCUCCCGGGAAGGGAAAAACACACACACUCCUACGUUGCUUCUUGUUGUUGAACCCAGUCCAUCAUGAUUGUUCUCUUAUGGGUAUCCUCAUGUAGUAUUGCCAAGCCAGCCUCUGACCAUCCGAAACGGGCAUCCGCCAUCCACCUGGCCAUCCGAACCGGGCAUCCGCCAGCAGACUGCUUGCCACAUCACACACCUAAAAGAAGACCACUACGCAUGGAUACUGCCUCCGCUCAGCUAUCUACUCCACUAGGUCUAUACCCAUAUGAGAAGUGCGGUUGUACGGGGGUCGUUUCAUGCUUAACUUCAUGGCUCGGUCCUUAAUUGACCAGGGACAGCACUAGCAUUUUCCGGAUACCACCCAAAUCCUCCAGCCACCCUAGUCGAAAACAGUUCUUUAACUUUAUUUUCCUUUCACAAAUCAUGCCACCAAUAUCAUGGCAAUGUGGCGCUCAUGUCUCCACAUGCCACAUCUCAAUUACCUUCCCAAAGGUAAUUGCCCAAGCAUAUAGCAUUUGAUAAAUAUGAGUAUGCAUGAUUCUAGAAUAGCAUUUCUAAGCAAUUGUCAUAAUUGACUAGAGACUUAUACGUAAACAUGGUAAACAAUAAUUAAGGCAUGGCAUAAUCACAAGUAGGAUGUUCAUCAUUGCAUGCAAUUUUAUUUGUAAACAAAAUAAUUUCGCAAUUGGGAUCAACAUGUUCAAAGAAUAGUAAUGACUUGCCUUGCUCAAAGUCUUGCGGAUCUCGACCUUCGCUUGGAUCCGCAACUCCCUCGGGCUCUAUAAUUACGUGCGAAGGAAUAAUUUGAAUUCAAUUAGAAUCCAAAUGAAAUCCAAAUAAUUCACACAAACAUCGAACGCGAAACACCCUUUCUAAAUUGACAACAAAGUUCGCGGAAUCGCUCAAUUCGAAUUGUUGGGUCAUUUUAACCUAAGUCAUUUUGUGAUUUGAAAUUACGUCCUAAGAAUUCAUCUAAUUGUUUAGUUCUUAAUUACAUUUAAAUUACUACCGCGAAUUGAUUACUUAAAGAGAUUACCAAAAAUAAUCUAUAAGAAUUCAUCUAAUUGUUUAGUUAUUAAUUACAUCUAAAUUACUACCGCGAAUUGAUUUCUUAUAGAAAUUAGAAUAGUCUAUAAUAAUCUAUGAUUAUAGUAUUAUUUUGCAAAUACUACACUUUAGUUAAUCCUAUAAUUAAUUCCUAAUAUUUUAAAUAUCCUAAAUCUCCUCCUAAUUUCCUAUUUAUUUUCCUUUUCUUUUUCUCCCUUUCUUUUUCUUUUUCCUUCCUUUCUUUUUCUUUUCUUUUUCCUUUUUUCUCUCUUCUCUCUUUUCUCUCUCCCGGCUCCUUUCUCCCUUCCUCUCUUCUUUUCUCUUUCUCCCUCCCUCUCUCUUGGCUUUUUGCCCUCCCGGCGGCGAUGGCGGUGGACGCAAGGGGGGGAAAGGCGGCGGCUUACCGACAGCGGCGGUCGGCGGCGACGACGGUGACGGCGGCGCAAGCCCCGACGCGGCACACGGCGUGGUGCGGCGGCACCGAGGGCGGCCCGGCGGCACGAAGGCAGCGGCGCGGCGGCACAAAGACGGCGGCGUGGCGGCACGAGAACGACGGCGCGGUGGUGAGGGUAGAGGGGAGGAGGAGGGAAUGGAGUGGGGAGAAUGGGGAAGGUGGGGUUUUUAUAGGGGAGAGAGGGGGAAAAGGGAGAGAAGGAGGGGGGGUGAAGCGACGGCGGCGCGGGGCGCGAGGCGGCGAGGAGACGAGCACGCGGCGACGGGACGGGCGACGUGACGGCGGGGCUCGAGGCGACGGCGGCACGCGCGGCGCGGCAGUGGGACGGCGACGGCGACGACACAGCAGCGGCGGCGCACGGCUCGGAGCGACGGCGAGACGCGACGGCGACGGCGCGCAGCAGCGGCGCGGGGCGCGAGGCGGCAGGCUCGCGACGCGGCGACGGGACAGGCGAGCGGCGCGCGGGCGCGAGGCGCGAGGCGACGCGACGGCAGGCGCGCGGUGCGGCGGUGGCGAUGGCGACGGCGCGCGGGGCUCGGGGCGGCCAGAGCGCGCGGCAGAGGAGGGGUUAGGGCUAGGGACCGCAAUCGAACACCUAGGGUGCAAUGAACAGUAUAUUUUCCUAUUUAUCCCGAUUUUAGUUUAUUUCCCAUAUAAAUUUGAUUCUAUAAUUUCUAAAUCUUGCAUAAAUGAAGUUUACUCAAUAUGUGUAUUAUCCAAACCAAUGGAUCCACUCCAGAUUAAAGAUUAAUUGUACCCAUAUUUUAUUUUUAUAUAAUUUACUUGAUUUUAAUUAGAGUUAAUUCUCAUUCCGUCUAUUUAGAUUUAAUUGAAACAAAUAUGAUCGCGAUAAUAUUUUAUUCAUUUCUAUCCUCACCUCAACCUUUAUUUUAAAUUGUAUUCCGAUUAUUUAUUUAGCCCAAUUAAUUUUUAGGGUUUAUUCCUAAUUAGUUAUUCUUUAUUCGCGAUCAACAAACUUCGAAAUCAAAAUUCAAUGGAAUAGGCAAAUAAAGUCGGCAUGAUGCAAUUUAUUUAAAAAGUUUUCGAAGGUCCGCAUUUUUAGAGUUUUGUUUUUAUUGGUCAAAUUUUCAGGGUGUUACACACACCCAGUUGCUUCCUCUCGCCGUGGCCCACGCUUUAUCCGCACUGCACGGAAGCAUGUUGUUGGUUCCUCCACUGUGUUCCACUUUCACUACCUAGCUCCCCUCCGCCAGCUGCCCGUGCUGCUGCCGGCCCUCGAUAGGUUCCGCUGGUCUCUUCGAGUGCGCCAAUCUACGUCUCUUCGACUGAGGAGCCGACCACUGGAGCCAGCUAGGCAGGCGAGGAGUAGAGGAGGCAGUCUUUAGCAGUUGUUCGGGUGUUAGGCCCUUUUGUUCCGCUGCCAACUCUUUUGGAGUCGUGGCGAGGUAGUGCGUGUGUGUGUUUGAUGUGGGUGUUGUAUGGUAGUCUGGAUAUCCUAGGUGGUGUGCGUAUAGUCAAGCUCGACGUAGAUCUGUGACUUGUCCACACCCGUUUUAUCAGGUGUCUUUAUGAUUUGAGAAAUUCAGUUUAUGCCUGUGUGUAUGCUAUUUGAGUUGUUAUUUACUUUGCUUCUUGGCUUCUUUAAGUACUUAUCUGAUUCUUACCUUGCCCUUUUCUGGGAGUUUAGAUGGCUAGCCGCCCCCGUCGC
Molecule: long non-coding RNA, 21431 nt
Filed under: Oryza sativa (Asian cultivated rice)
Lineage: Eukaryota; Viridiplantae; Streptophyta; Magnoliopsida; Poales; Poaceae
Description: long non-coding RNA (OSAT_LNC000009)
Source: RNAcentral